RNAcentral lists this ribosomal RNA (492 nucleotides) under uncultured bacterium. Its description in RNAcentral is "partial 16S ribosomal RNA". It matches the Rfam family "Bacterial small subunit ribosomal RNA", at positions 29 to 507 of the family's 1533-position model. The record is from RNAcentral.
AGUGAACGCUGGCGGUAGGCCUAACACAUGCAAGUCGAACGGCAGCACAGUAAGAGCUUGCUCUUACGGGUGGCGAGUGGCGGACGGGUGAGGAAUACAUCGGAAUCUACUUUUUUGUGGGGGUUAACGUAGGGAAACUUACGACACUACCGCAUAUGCACUACGGGUGAAAGUAGGGGAUAUUCGGUCCUUGCGCGGUUGAAUGUGCCGCUGUUGGCUUAGCUAGUUGGCGGGGUAAAUGCCCACCAAGGCAACGAUCCGUAGCUGGUCUGAGUGGAUGAUCAGCCACACUAGAACUGACACACGAGCCAUACUCCUGCGGCAGACACCAAUAGUGAAUAUUGGACAAUGGGCGCGAGCCUGAUCCAGCCACACCGAGUGAGAAAAGGAGACCUUCAGGUUGUAAAGCCCUUUUGUUGGGAGAGAAACGCAUCAGGUUAAUACCCCGCUGUUCUGACGGUACCCAAAGAAUAAGCACCGGCUAACUUCGUG